This 253-nucleotide ribosomal RNA is filed under the name uncultured bacterium. RNAcentral's name for it is "partial 16S ribosomal RNA". It matches the Rfam family "Bacterial small subunit ribosomal RNA", at positions 524 to 776 of the family's 1533-position model. The record is from RNAcentral.
UACGUAGGGCGCAAGCGUUGUCCGGAAUUAUUGGGCGUAAAGAGCUCGUAGGCGGCUUGUCACGUCGGUUGUGAAAGCCCGGGGCUUAACCCCGGGUCUGCAGUCGAUACGGGCAGGCUAGAGUGUGGUAGGGGAGAUCGGAGUUCCUGGUGUAGCGGUGAAAUGCGCAGAUAUCAGGAGGAACACCGGUGGCGAAGGCGGAUCUCUGGGCCAUUACUGACGCUGAGGAGCGAAAGCGUGGGGAGCGAACAGG